CUAAAUAACUGAUCCCAUUGAAUAAUUUACUAUUUAAAAAAAUAUUUUAGAUCCAUUCUAAGUGUGCCUUGGAUUGAAUUAUGUGGUGAAGUUAAUAUUAGUUGUGCCAAGACAGGCUACUAUGCUCAUAUCGAUUUUCAUUCUAAACCUUUCUACAAUAACAAGAAACAUCGUAUCACUGCUAAUGUCUUUCAACCAAGUGACAAAAAGCCUUUUUAUACUGUGACGGGAGAAUGGAAUGGUGUAAUGGAAGGAAAGAAUUUAAAUACUGGGG
Molecule: long non-coding RNA, 274 nt
Organism: Centruroides sculpturatus (bark scorpion)
Lineage: Eukaryota; Metazoa; Arthropoda; Arachnida; Scorpiones; Buthidae
Exons: 2
Source: RefSeq, a predicted model, not a curated record